Molecule: ribosomal RNA, 459 nt
Filed under: uncultured Rhodocyclaceae bacterium
Lineage: Bacteria; Pseudomonadati; Pseudomonadota; Betaproteobacteria; Rhodocyclales; Rhodocyclaceae
Description: bacterial SSU rRNA
Rfam family: Bacterial small subunit ribosomal RNA
Source: RNAcentral
GCACAAGCGGUGGAUGAUGUGGUUUAAUUCGAUGCAACGCGAAAACCUUACCCACCUUUGACAUGUACGGAAUCCUUUAGAGAUAGAGGAGUGCUCGAAAGAGAGCCGGAACACAGGUGCUGCAUGGCUGUCGUCAGCUCGUGUCGUGAGAUGUUGGGUUAAGUCCCGCAACGAGCGCAACCCUUGUCAUUAGUUGCCAUCAUUUGGUUGGGCACUCUAAUGAGACUGCCGGUGACAAACCGGAGGAAGGUGGGGAUGACGUCAAGUCCUCAUGGCCCUUAUGGGUAGGGCUUCACACGUCAUACAAUGGUCGGUACAGAGGGUUGCCAACCCGCGAGGGGGAGCUAAUCCCACAAAGCCGAUCGUAGUCCGGAUCGCAGUCUGCAACUCGACUGCGUGAAGUCGGAAUCGCUAGUAAUCGUGGAUCAGCAUGUCACGGUGAAUACGUUCCCGGGUCUU